AAGUCGUAACAAGGUUUCCGUAGGUGAACCUGCGGAAGGAUCAUUAACACUAAUGAAAUCCAAAACCUUUUGGAUCAACCCAACCUUUAGCGAACCGAUCGUUUUUCUUUCUCCUUGCCCCUUUUUUUAUCAAACCCAACUUAUCUGAUGUAAAGUGUCUGAUUUCAUAUUCUCCACGACGCCUUGAUUGGCUCGGAGGGAAUCAAAAUCUAACGCAAUACAACUCUUAACAACGGAUAUCUUGGCUCUC
Molecule: unclassified non-coding RNA, 250 nt
Filed under: fungal sp.
Lineage: Eukaryota; Fungi
Description: partial internal transcribed spacer region
Rfam family: Eukaryotic small subunit ribosomal RNA (bases 1-46)
Source: RNAcentral